RNAcentral lists this ribosomal RNA (389 nucleotides) under uncultured bacterium. RNAcentral describes it as "bacterial SSU rRNA". It matches the Rfam family "Bacterial small subunit ribosomal RNA", at positions 28 to 409 of the family's 1533-position model. The record is from RNAcentral.
GAUGAACGCUGGCGGCGUGCCUAACACAUGCAAGUCGAACGAAGCACCUUGAUUUCCUCGGAUUGAUAGGUGACUGAGUGGCGGACGGGUGAGUAACGCGUGGGUAACCUGCCUCAUACAGGAGGAUAACAGUUAGAAAUGGCUGCUAAUACCGCAUAAGCGCACAGUACCGCAUGGUACCGUGUGAAAAACUCCGGUGGUAUGAGAUGGACCCGCGUCUGAUUAGCUAGUGGUAAGGUAACGGCUUACCAAGGCGACGAUCAGUAGCCGGCCUGAGAGGGUGAUCGGCCACAUUGGGACUGAGACACGGCCCAAACUCCUACGGGAGCAGCAGUGGGGAAUAUUGCACAAUGGGGGAAACCCUGAUGCAGCAACGCCGCGUUGAAGGA